GACGAACGCUGGCGGCGUGCUUAACACAUGCAAGUCGAACGGUAAGGCCCUUCGGGGUACACGAGUGGCGAACGGGUGAGUAGCACGUGGGUGAUCUGCCCUGCACUUCGGGAUAAGCCUGGGAAACUGGGUCUAAUACCGGAUAGGACUCCUGGCUGCAUGGUUGGGGGUGGAAAGCUUUUGCGGUGUGGGAUGGGCCCGCGGCCUAUCAGCUUGUUGGUGGGGUAAUGGCCUACCAAGGCGACGACGGGUAGCCGGCCUGAGAGGGUGACCGGUCACACUGGGACUGAGAUACGGCCCAGACUCCUACGGGAGGCAGCAGUGGGGAAUAUUGCACAAUGGGCGCAAGCCUGAUGCAGCGACGCCGCGUGAGGGAUGACGGCCUUCGGGUUGUAAACCUCUUUCAGCUAUGACGAAGCGCAAGUGACGGUAGUAGCGGAAGAAGGACCGGCCAACUACGUGCCAGCCGCCGCCGUAA
This 478-nucleotide ribosomal RNA is filed under the name uncultured bacterium. RNAcentral describes it as "partial 16S ribosomal RNA". It matches the Rfam family "Bacterial small subunit ribosomal RNA", at positions 28 to 523 of the family's 1533-position model. The record is from RNAcentral.